This 636-nucleotide ribosomal RNA is filed under the name Olenecamptus octopustulatus chinensis. Its description in RNAcentral is "eukaryotic LSU rRNA". The record is from RNAcentral. Lineage: Eukaryota; Metazoa; Arthropoda; Insecta; Coleoptera; Cerambycidae.
UUCAGGGGUAAACCUGAGAAACCCGAAAGGUCGAAAGGGGAAAUUCAUUCGCGUCUCGGCAGUCGGAGCGAGAGGGUCGAGCGACGGACGGCGUACGCGUCGUCCGCGCCUUCCGUUUCGCGAUCUGGCGUCGAACGCGUGCACUUUUCCCCUAGUAGGACGUCGCGAUCCGUUGGGUGUCGGUUUAAGGCCUGCGGCGGAGCCCGAGCGUACGUCUUUGGCGUUGCGCGCUCGGACCCGCGGUGUCCCGACCGACCCGCUCGACGGUAUACAGAUGGCGCGGGGCCGCUACUUCAGUUAGCGUUCGGCCCGCGGCAAGCGCGUCAGGCGUUUGGCGGCGAUCGGACUUGGUGCCGGUCCUGUCCCCUGACGACUGUUAGCCGCGGUGUUCUCGGACAGACCUCGUUUCGAAACGCCGAUCUGCGACGCUAUAGCUUUGGGUACUUUCAGGACCCUCGGACCAAGGAGUCUAGCAUGUGCGCGAGUCAUUGGGACAUAUCUAAACCUAAAGGCGCAAUGAAAGUGAAGGUCCGCCUUGCGCGGACCGAGGGAGGAUGGGCGGCCGGCGUUUCCGCGUCGCCGCCCCGCACUCCCGGGGCGUCUCGUUCUCAUCGCGAGAAGAGGCGCACCAAGAGC